UACAGAGGGGGCAAGCGUUGUUCGGAAUUACUGGGCGUAAGGGGCGCGUAGGCGGCCUGUUAAGUCGAACGUGAAAUCCCCGGGCUCAACCCGGGAACUGCGUCCGAUACUGGCAGGCUUGAAUCCGGGAGAGGGAUGCGGAAUUCCAGGUGUAGCGGUGAAAUGCGUAGAUAUCUGGAGGAACACCGGUGGCGAAGGCGGCAUCCUGGACCGGCAUUGACGCUGAGGCGCGAAGGCCAGGGGAGCAAACGGG
Molecule: ribosomal RNA, 253 nt
Filed under: uncultured bacterium
Lineage: Bacteria
Description: partial 16S ribosomal RNA
Rfam family: Bacterial small subunit ribosomal RNA
Source: RNAcentral